Halichondria panicea is the source of this 2307-nucleotide long non-coding RNA. RefSeq lists it as uncharacterized. The record is from RefSeq and is a predicted model, not a curated record. NCBI's taxonomy places the organism in Eukaryota, Metazoa, Porifera, Demospongiae, Suberitida, Halichondriidae. The transcript has 7 exons.
GACUUCCCCUCGUACUACUAAACCUCUACUGUCAAGAGUUAGACUGCAACAUGGUCCCAUUCAGUGAAAGGGCAUGCAGGCUUGAUGAAGGUUGCCUGCAGUGUCAAUGAUGAUGCCCUGUAUACAAACUACAGGAGUUACUAUAGGGGUCAGGUGUCACUAAGGAAAAGACCUGACAUCUCUCUCCACACGAGAAUUAGGCAACAAGAUAUUCACUUAAGUUGCCCUAAAUGUGAAGUAAACUGGACUGGGUGCACAACUGCAUGGAAGCGGCUAUUUAAAACACUGGAAGAAUAUUCAUACGGACGUUCUACAAUACCCUAUAAUAUCAAAACAGCAGGAGCUCACAGGAUAAUAGACAAUGGAUGCUACAACACACAUUCUGAUUGGUACCUAGGAAAAUGUAUAAUGCCGUUCAUCGUAACUAUUCUGGUCAACCAAUUGACUAUUUAUCUCAACUGCAAGGUUUCAACUAAUCCAAGUUCUAACUGAGGGCUGGGCGAGGUAUUCUGCCACCUCCAUUAUGUCUUCCCAGGAAGCAGCUGACGUAUGACCGGCUCAACAACCCCCGUCUGGGAGUUUUUCGACUCAAUAGUUGAGCAUGCCCAGCUUGGAGGGGCGGCAGUUGUGGAUAAAGACAAACUAGAUGCGGUAACAUAUCUCUUACCGCAUGCCGUCAUGACCAACUCCACACAGCGGCCUGGUUCAGUCGCGAACCUAACAAUAGAGGAAUUUAACAACACAAGGCUGGAAAGUCAAAAGGAGGAGAUAUGUUGGUGCUCCGGGCCCAUAGACACAAGACGCAGGCACAGGGCUCUGCAUGCACAUCUUAACUAUCAUAAGUACGUUAGGCCGCAACAACUCGGCAUACAGCCAUCAAACCUCUUUUUUCUGAGGCACGGAGGUAAAGAACUGAAGAACAUGGCAGCGAGGGUGGUGGUUCAAGCCAAAAGGUUUAACUUUACGUUUAUCAACUCCACCGAGCUCAGGAAAACGGUGUCAACAGAAGCAACUAAGAACCUGAAACCGACGCGGAGGGGACUGAUAUCGAAACAGAUAAACCACAGCCGCCACGUGGAGGACAGAUUUUACAAUAAAGAUUUACAUACCACAAAAUCAGCUAUGACUUGAUACAGGCCGCGGGGACUAAGAGGGUUGGAGACAUACUUUGGGAAAACGAUUAAUUGAGAAGGGGCGAACUAUACUUAUAGGGCAGACACCAUAAAAAUUGUAAAGGACAAUCCUGAUAUUCAGAGAGACGCUAAACAAAUACAAGACAAGGUUAGAAACCUAAGCAAAUAAUUAUUACAAGGAUUGCUGAAGGAACUCAUUCUGAAGUUAUUUUCAUUCUAUUGCUUCCUCUCACAUCGUUACUGAUAGCUGUUUGAGGUAUUCUGCCACCGCCGUUGUGUCCUCCCAGGAAACAUCUGGAAUACGACCGGCUCAACAACCCAUCCUAUAAAAAAAGAGAGAUGACUGAAUCUCUCACUGAUGGCAGUUCGAGUCGUUUUACCUCCGCCGCUGUGUCUAUACCUCGACAACAGUUCGAGUAUCAUCAGCUAAACAAUCCAGUUAUUAAAACUACUUGGCAUGCAGACAUUCAUUUACUUGGUAUAUUCAUUUUGUGAGAUGGAACAGAAGAUAGCUGAGCUUGAGUCCAAGAUGAAACGUAUACGUGCAGAUAUACUGACGAAGAAUAUAAUUAUGGUUGUUUCGGUGCUGCAGUCCAUGAAGCGCCGCCAACCUAACGGCAAACUCUACUGUCUCCCCUGCUACACUGCAAAAGCACUUUUGUUAUUGUGACACAGUUUGCUACCGGCACAAAAUGUUAUCUUGACAAAACGUUUGUCAAUUUCCUGCAAUUAUUGUUAUAACGACAAAUCAUAGUUUAUUUAACUAUUAAUAUAGUUUAUCUAACUAUUAAUAUAUUUGUUGUUAUAAUGGUAGAUUGUUAUCUGAACACAUGUGUUGUCAUUUUGUCGAAGCGUUGUUGAUCUCACAUUUAGUGGAAGUUACCGUUCAUUGUCAAAUUAACAUUAAUGUGUGACAAUAACAAAUUAUAAAGUUACAGCUAGAACUCUACUAAAAGAUAUGUGCAAGUUUGCAUCGCUGAUUUCAACCUACUCAACCUAUACUCGAUUACCCUAGCUCGUAAUAAAUUGUCUACACUGAAACAUCUCAGUUGCCCUGAUGCUUAUAUCUUUGCAUGCUCAUGUUAGUUGUGUAUGUAGCAAUUGGAGACUUGUGACUGGGCAUGGUAAGUUACAGUGGCAGUGAAGAAGUCAGGAGCCUCCAGAGUCCUUCAGA